RNAcentral lists this transfer RNA (68 nucleotides) under Dendroctonus valens (red turpentine beetle). Its description in RNAcentral is "tRNA-Arg". The record is from RNAcentral. Lineage: Eukaryota; Metazoa; Arthropoda; Insecta; Coleoptera; Curculionidae.
UAAUAAGAAGCAAUUAUUAAGCCUUUAGUUUCGACCUAAAAAUAUGGUAGGAUCCCUACCCUUAUUUU